GAUGAACGCUGGCGGCGUGCCUAACACAUGCAAGUCGAACGGAGAUUACGGACGGAAGUUUUCGGAUGGAAGACUGUAAUUCUUAGUGGCGGACGGGUGAGUAACGCGUGGGCAACCUGCCCUAUACAGGGGGAUAGCAGCUGGAAACGGCUGGUAAGACCGCAUAAGUCGGUUAAAUCGUAUGAUUUGAUCGGGAAAUGAGCAAUCAGGUAUAGGAUGGGCCCGCGUCCGAUUAGCCAGUUGGCAGGGUAAAAGCCUACCAAAGCGACGAUCGGUAGCCGGACUGAGAGGUCGGACGGCCACAUUGGGACUGAGACACGGCCCAAACUCCUACGGGAGGCAGCAGUGGGGGAUAUUGCACAAUGGAGGAAACUCUGAUGCAGCGACGCCGCGUGAGUGAAGAAGUAUUUCGGUAUGUAAAGCUCUAUCAGCAGGGAAGAUGAUGACGGUACCUGACUAAGAAGCCCCGGCUAACUACGUG
RNAcentral lists this ribosomal RNA (481 nucleotides) under uncultured bacterium. Its description in RNAcentral is "partial 16S ribosomal RNA". It matches the Rfam family "Bacterial small subunit ribosomal RNA", at positions 28 to 507 of the family's 1533-position model. The record is from RNAcentral.